RNAcentral lists this microRNA (22 nucleotides) under Mus musculus (house mouse). RNAcentral's name for it is "mmu-miR-6921-5p". Lineage: Eukaryota; Metazoa; Chordata; Mammalia; Rodentia; Muridae. The record is from miRBase by way of RNAcentral.
UGAGGGGCAUGAGGUAGGAAGC